RNAcentral lists this ribosomal RNA (241 nucleotides) under uncultured Staphylococcus sp. RNAcentral describes it as "partial 16S ribosomal RNA". It matches the Rfam family "Bacterial small subunit ribosomal RNA", at positions 99 to 334 of the family's 1533-position model. The record is from RNAcentral. Lineage: Bacteria; Bacillati; Bacillota; Bacilli; Caryophanales; Staphylococcaceae.
CGGACGGGUGAGUAACACGUGGAUAACCUACCUAUAAGACUGGGAUAACUUCGGGAAACCGGAGCUAAUACCGGAUAAUAUUUUGAACCGCAUGGUUCAAAAGUAAAAGACGGUCUUGCUGUCACUUAUAGAUGGAUUCGCGCUGCAUUAGCUAGUUGGUAAGGUAACGGCUUACAAAGGCAACGAUGCAUAGCCGACCUGAGAGGGUGAUCGGCCACACUGGAACUGAGACACGGUCCAG